Unclassified non-coding RNA from Cavia porcellus (domestic guinea pig), 88 nucleotides. It matches the Rfam family "Y RNA". From Rfam's summary of the family: Y RNAs are components of the Ro ribonucleoprotein particle (Ro RNP), in association with Ro60 and La proteins. The Y RNAs and Ro60 and La proteins are well conserved, but the function of the Ro RNP is not known. In humans the RNA component can be one of four small RNAs -- hY1, hY3, hY4 and hY5. The record is from Ensembl. Lineage: Eukaryota; Metazoa; Chordata; Mammalia; Rodentia; Caviidae.
GGCUGGUCCGAAGGUAGUGAGUUAUCUCAAUUGAUUGUUCACAGUCAGUACAGAUUGAACUCCUUGUUCUACUCUUGACUGGUCUAAA